Molecule: non-coding RNA, 91 nt
Organism: Turdus rufiventris (rufous-bellied thrush)
Lineage: Eukaryota; Metazoa; Chordata; Aves; Passeriformes; Turdidae
Source: the annotation of a GenBank genome assembly
AGCACGAUUGUGAGGUUUACAGGCUCAGCUUGGGGCUGGGCAGUAUCAGCCCCGCUUGGGGCUGCUGCAGGCUCAGCCCCGCUUGGGCUGC